RNAcentral lists this long non-coding RNA (1107 nucleotides) under Anolis carolinensis (green anole). Its description in RNAcentral is "lncRNA (ENSACAG00000045020.1)". The record is from RNAcentral. Lineage: Eukaryota; Metazoa; Chordata; Lepidosauria; Squamata; Anolidae.
AUGUUCAGCAGUGGAACUCUCUGCCCCGGAGUGUGGUGGAGGCUCCUUCUUUGGAGGCUUUUAAGCAGAGGCUGGAUGGCCAUAUGUCGGGGGUGCUUUGAAUGCGAUUUCCUGCUUCUUGGCGGGGGGUGGGUGGGGUUGGACUGGAUGGCCCAUGAGGUCUUUUCCAACUCUACUAGUCUAUGCUUCUAUGAAGGAGUUGAGGCAAGGGAAGAGUGGUCAUUUGAUGUGAGGUUUGGGUAUCUGUUCUUCUUUUUAUGUUUCUUCUUUGGUUUUUUUCUUUUCUUAUUAUUGCAAUGUAUUUCUCAUUAAAACUCAAUAACCCUACCUCCCUCCCCAGUGUCAAGUACUGAAAAUGAACUAUCAUUUACUAGUGGGGAGGGGAGGGAGCAAAAUGAUAAAAAACCCAUCUUGUCUUGACUCAUAGGGGGAAGGAAAUGGGAAUACAAUCACAUAUAGAUGCCUUGUCUUGGAGCUACAUUGAUGGAACAACCACCUUACUUUGGCUCCUCCUCAAUGGUCAGCAACACCCUUAGCCGCUUUGAGUCUCCUCUCCUGCAGGAGAGAUAAAGUGGGGUAUAAUAAAUAAUAAAAAUAAUAAUGAUAAUAAUAAUCAUCCUUAUCUCAUUUGCAAAUUAUCAUGUACAGCGUAAGUCCCCCCUCCAUUAAAUACCUUUUAAAAAUAAUUAAAAUGCAGGAACAAUAGCCCCAAUGUCAUUUCCAUUUCUUCUGUUGCUUUUCAUUACACCCUUGUUACCAAUUAUAAUAAUAAUUAAUUAUAUUGUAUCUGACAUUACUUCCAGUCUCUGAGCUGGCUUUUCUUUAUAGAUCUUUUUUGUAACAUGAGGUAGGUGAUACAGUGGUGUGGGAUCUGGGGUUGAACCACUGGAUAAAGUCCUUCUCUGUCCAUGUCAGUGGGGCAGUGAAUCCACUCUGGGUUUUAAAGUCCUUGGAAUGUGGUUAGAUGGAAGCCACUAACCACAACUGUACCUGCCAGACAAAUAUUAGGAAGCACAAUUCCCUUGUUUUCUCAUUUGCCUGGCUAAAAACCACUAAACUAUUCCUGGAUGGCCACAUAAGGUUAACUGCCUAGUUCAUGUCCCCCCC